This is a long non-coding RNA of Penaeus indicus, 130 nucleotides long. RefSeq lists it as uncharacterized. The transcript is spliced from 2 exons. NCBI's taxonomy places the organism in Eukaryota, Metazoa, Arthropoda, Malacostraca, Decapoda, Penaeidae. The record is from RefSeq and is a predicted model, not a curated record.
AGAGAGAGAGAGAGAGAGAGAGAGAGAGAAAGAGAGAGAGAAAGAAAAGGGGGUAAGAGGGCCAGAGAGAGAUAGAGAGAGAGAGAGAGAGAAAAGAGGGUAGUAGGGCCAGAGAGAGAGAGAGAGAGAG